AUUGAACGCUGGCGGCAUGCCUUACACAUGCAAGUCGAACGGCAGCACGGGUGCUUGCACCUGGUGGCGAGUGGCGAACGGGUGAGUAAUACAUCGGAACAUGUCCUGUAGUGGGGGAUAGCCCGGCGAAAGCCGGAUUAAUACCGCAUACGAUCUACGGAUGAAAGCGGGGGACCUUCGGGCCUCGCGCUAUAGGGUUGGCCGAUGGCUGAUUAGCUAGUUGGUGGGGUAAAGGCCUACCAAGGCGACGAUCAGUAGCUGGCCUGAGAGGACGACCAGCCACACUGGGACUGAGACACGGCCCAGACUCCUACGGGAGGCAGCAGUGGGGAAUUUUGGACAAUGGGCGAAAGCCUGAUCCAGCAAUGCCGCGUGUGUGAAGAAGGCCUUCGGGUUGUAAAGCACUUUUGUCCGGAAAGAAAUCCUUGGCCCUAAUACGGUCGGGGGAUGGCGGUACCGGAAGAAUAAGCACCGGCUAACUACGUG
This 486-nucleotide ribosomal RNA is filed under the name uncultured bacterium. Its description in RNAcentral is "partial 16S ribosomal RNA". It matches the Rfam family "Bacterial small subunit ribosomal RNA", at positions 30 to 507 of the family's 1533-position model. The record is from RNAcentral.